ACUGCGUGUAGAUCCGUGGCUACAGGAUGGAACGUCUAGCGGGAGGCCGAACACAUGCUAGUCGAACGUCUUUGAGAGCUUGCUCUCAUGAGAGUGGCGCACGGGUGAGUAACGCGUAUGCAACCUGCACUCAACAGAGGGAUAGCUUAUAGAAAUGUGGAUUAGAAUACCUCAUAGUCCUGAGAAGUCGCAUGGCUUUUCAGGUAAAACUCCGGUGGUUACAGAUGGGCAUGCGUGACAUUAGCUAGUUGGUAAGGUAACGGCUUACCACUUAAACGAUGUCUAGGGGUUCUGAGAGGAUGAUCCCCCACACUGGUACUGAGACACGGACCAGACUCCUACGCCUGGCAGCAGUGAGGAAUAUUGGUCAAUCCGCGCAAGCCUGAACCAGCCAUCCCGCGUGCAGGAUGACGGCCUUAUGGGUUGUAAACUGCUUAGAUACAGGAAGUAAAAAUCUCCACGUGUGGGAGACUUGCCGGUACUGUAUGAAUAAGCAUCGGCUAACUCCGUUAGCCAGCAGCCGCGGUAAUACGGAGGAUGCAAGCGUUAUCCGGAUUCAUUGGGUUUAGGGGGUGCGUAGGCGGCUCUUUAAGUCAGUGGUGAAAUCCUGCCGCCCGUACUUAGAAUUGCCAUUGAUACUGAAGAGCUUGAGUACAACCAUGGUAAGCUGAAUGUGUAGUGUAGCGGUGACAUGCAUAGAUAUUACACAGAACAGGAUCGCGAAGGCAGCUUACUAAACUGUUACUGACGCUGAUGCACGAUCGCGUGACCAGCGAACAGGAUUAGAUACCCUGGUAGUCCACGCCGUAGCCGAUGAUCACUCGCUGUAUGCGAUACACUCUAUGCGGCGAAGCGAAAGCAUUAAGUGAUCCACCUGCUAAGUACGAUCGCAAGGUUGAAACUCACCGGAAUUGACGGGAUGCCGCACAAGCGGAGGAACAUGUGGUUUAAUUGCAUGAUACGCGAGGAACCAUUACCUGGGCUUAAAUGGAUCGACAGCUGCGCGACAAGGUGGGCCUUACUUCGGACGUUCUAGAAGGUGCUGCAUGGUUGUCGUCAGCUCGCCGCCGUGAGGUGUCGGGUUAAGUCCCAUAACGAGCGCAACCGAAAUCGUUAGGUGCCAGCGGAAGCCGGCCACUCUAGCGAGACUGCCACCGUAAGGUGAGAGGAAGGUGAUGACGUCAAGCAUCAGCACGGCCCUUAUGUCCAGGGCUACACACGUGUUACAAUGGCCAGUACAAAGGGCAGCUACCAGGCGACUGGAUGCUAAUCUCUAAAGCUGGUCUCAGUUCGGAUCGAAGUCUGCAACCCGACUUACGUGAAGCUGGAUUCGCUUCGCUUCGCGCAUCAGCCAUGGCGCGGUGAAUAACGUUCGAGGGCCUUGUACACACCGGUCGUCAAACAAUGGACAUCGUGGGUACCUGAAGUAUGUAACCGCACGGAGCGUCCUAGGGUAAGCCUAGUAACUGGUGUUAAGUCCGUAACAAGGUAGCUGUAGA
This 1499-nucleotide ribosomal RNA is filed under the name uncultured Prolixibacter sp. RNAcentral describes it as "bacterial SSU rRNA". It matches the Rfam family "Bacterial small subunit ribosomal RNA". Lineage: Bacteria; Pseudomonadati; Bacteroidota; Bacteroidia; Marinilabiliales; Prolixibacteraceae. The record is from RNAcentral.